GACGAACGCUGGCGGCGUGCUUAACACAUGCAAGUCGAACGAAGUGGCGAACGGGUGUGUAACGCGUAAUCAACCUGCCCUUCAGAGGGGGACAACAGUUGGAAACGACUGCUAAUACCGCAUACUGAAGGAGGGGAUUGCGUCUGAUUAGCUAGUUGGAGGGGUAACGGCCCACCAAGGCGAUGAUCAGUAGGCGGUCCUGGAGGAUGAACGGGCAAAUUGGGACUGGGACACGGGCCAGACUCCUACGGGAGGGAGGAGGGGGGAAUCUUCCGCAAUGGAAGAAAGGCUGACGGAGCAAAGGCGGGGGAGGGAGGACGGGCUUCGGGUUGGAAAGAUCUGUUAAUCGGGACGCGGUACCGGAAUAGAAAGCCACGGCUAACUACGUGCCAGCAGCCGCGGUAAUUC
This 408-nucleotide ribosomal RNA is filed under the name uncultured bacterium. RNAcentral's name for it is "partial 16S ribosomal RNA". It matches the Rfam family "Bacterial small subunit ribosomal RNA", at positions 28 to 526 of the family's 1533-position model. The record is from RNAcentral.